RNAcentral lists this ribosomal RNA (470 nucleotides) under uncultured bacterium. RNAcentral describes it as "bacterial SSU rRNA". It matches the Rfam family "Bacterial small subunit ribosomal RNA", at positions 28 to 477 of the family's 1533-position model. The record is from RNAcentral.
AGCGAACGCUGGCGGCGUGGUUGAGACAUGCAAGUCGAACGAGUCUGGUCCGGUCGUAAGACUGGGCCUGUACGAGUGGCGAAAGGGAGAGUACAAAACAGGUAACGUACCCCGGACACCGGGAUAGCCCGUCGAAAGGCGGAUUAAUACCGGGUGACGUUCCGAGCCGCAUGGCUCGGAAUCAUAGGGUGGGGCCCUUCGGGGCCUGUCGGUCUGGGAGCGGCCUGUUUCCUAUCAGCUUGUUGGUGAGGUAAUGGCUCACCAAGGCAAUGACGGGUAGCCGGCCUUAGCGGGUGUUCGGCCUCACUGGGACUGAGACACUGCCCAGAGCCCUACGGGGUGCAGCAGUCUCGAAUCAUCCGCAAUGCGCGAAAGCGUGACGGUGCGACGCCGCGUGCGGGAUGAAGCCCUUCGGGGUGUAAACCGCUUUUCAGAGGUAUGAAGUGUCCUCGCUGAAUAGGCGGGCGGCA